GACGGAGGAUGCAAGUGUUAUCCGGAAUCACUGGGCGUAAAGCGUCUGUAGGUGGUCAAAUAAGUCAACUGUUAAAUCUUGAGGCUCAACCUCAAAAUCGCAGUCGAAACUAUUCGACUAGAGUAUAGUAGGGGUAAAGGGAAUUUCCAGUGGAGCGGUGAAAUGCGUAGAGAUCAGGAAGAACACCCGUGGCGCAAGCGGCCACCUGGCAGAGCACUGACGCUGAGGCACGAAAGCGUGGGUAGCGAACCGG
Molecule: ribosomal RNA, 253 nt
Filed under: uncultured bacterium
Lineage: Bacteria
Description: partial 16S ribosomal RNA
Rfam family: Bacterial small subunit ribosomal RNA
Source: RNAcentral